UAUUUAUAAAUCAAGAUAAUUAUUAUUACACUGAAAAUAUAAUGUUUUAAAUUUAAACUAUAUAAAU
Molecule: transfer RNA, 67 nt
Filed under: Vanhornia eucnemidarum
Lineage: Eukaryota; Metazoa; Arthropoda; Insecta; Hymenoptera; Vanhorniidae
Description: tRNA-Glu
Source: RNAcentral